UGGGGAAUAUUGGGCAAUGGGCGCAAGCCUGACCCAGCAACGCCGCGUGAAGGAAGAAGGCUUUCGGGUUGUAAACUUCUUUUCUCAGGGACGAAGCAAGUGACGGUACCUGAGGAAUAAGCCACGGCUAACUACGUGCCAGCAGCCGCGGUAAUACGUAGGUGGCAAGCGUUAUCCGGAUUUACUGGGUGUAAAGGGCGUGUAGGCGGGACUGCAAGUCAGAUGUGAAAACCACGGGCUCAACCUGUGGCCUGCAUUUGAAACUGUAGUUCUUGAGUACUGGAGAGGCAGACGGAAUUCCUAGUGUAGCGGUGAAAUGCGUAGAUAUUAGGAGGAACACCAGUGGCGAAGGCGGUCUGCUGGACAGCAACUGACGCUGAGGCGCGAAAGCGUGGGGAGCAAACAGG
Molecule: ribosomal RNA, 407 nt
Filed under: uncultured bacterium
Lineage: Bacteria
Description: bacterial SSU rRNA
Rfam family: Bacterial small subunit ribosomal RNA
Source: RNAcentral